Molecule: non-coding RNA, 45 nt
Organism: Schistosoma curassoni
Lineage: Eukaryota; Metazoa; Platyhelminthes; Trematoda; Strigeidida; Schistosomatidae
Source: Rfam
AUCCAGCCAACGAGUCACAAAUAGGACGAAACACGCGUCCUGGAU